This is a long non-coding RNA of Magnolia sinica, 598 nucleotides long. RefSeq lists it as uncharacterized. Lineage: Eukaryota; Viridiplantae; Streptophyta; Magnoliopsida; Magnoliales; Magnoliaceae. The record is from RefSeq and is a predicted model, not a curated record. The transcript is spliced from 3 exons.
AUGCUACAUACAAAGGAACAUAUUCUGCUUGCCACGUCACGAAGUAUGGCCCCAUUCAUGAUACCUAUUGAAAUUGGUUGAUUGCCAACCAUUGAAGGCCUUAUUUCACUUUUGUCGGUGUAUAAUGAAGACAGAACACUUUGGGAAGCUACUAGUACUUAUGUUGAGAUGAGCCCCUUUGUGUCAACUAACAAAAUCAAGAAACCGAUUUUAUUUAUGUAUGGGAAGAAGACAACAAUCCAGGAACACUCACAAUGCAGGUCUUGGCUAUAGAGGAGCUCUUCAAGCAUAGGGUGAGAAAUGUUGUGUUCAUGGGAAUGGGUGAGCCAAUGCUGAAUUUGAAGUCAGUUUUGGAAGCACAUAGGUGCUUGAAUAAGGUCCGUAUAUGUACAUUGUAGCGUUUUAUACGUGCUAACAUUCAAAAUGCAUGGAAGAGUUUAAAAAUUAUGCUCCAAGUAAAAAGACUGCAAUAACUAUACUAUCCUGAAGUUAAUAUAAUUGUAAACAACUAUCAAAACAGAUGAUAACUUGAACAACUAAUUGAUAGUGUUUGUGUGAGUAGGGCUGGUAAUGGAUAUCGUUUACCCAAUUACCCUAC